This 21-nucleotide microRNA is filed under the name Homo sapiens (human). RNAcentral's name for it is "hsa-miR-6891-3p". Lineage: Eukaryota; Metazoa; Chordata; Mammalia; Primates; Hominidae. The record is from miRBase by way of RNAcentral.
CCCUCAUCUUCCCCUCCUUUC